CCUACGGGUGGCAGCAGUGGGGAAUCUUUGGCAAUGGGCGCAAGCCUGACCCAGCAACGCCGCGUGAAGGAAGAAGGCUUUCGGGUUGUAAACUUCUUUUGUCAGGGAAGAGUAGAAGACGGUACCUGACGAAUAAGCCACGGCUCACUACGUUCCAGCAGCCGCGGUAAUAUGGAGGUGGCACGCGUUGUCCGGAUUUACUGGGUGUAAAGGGCGUGUAGCCGGGUUGACAAGUCAGAUGUGAAAUCCUGCGGCUUAACCGCAGAACUGCAUGUGAAACUGUUGAUCUUGAGUACUGGAGAGGUAGAUGGAAUUCCUAGUGUAGGGGUGAAAUGCGUAGAUAUUAGGAGGAACACCAGUGGCGAAGGCGGUCUGCUGGACAGCAACUGACGGUGAGGCGCGAAAGCGUGGGGAGCAAACAGGAUUAGAUACCCUGGUAGUC
Molecule: ribosomal RNA, 442 nt
Filed under: uncultured bacterium
Lineage: Bacteria
Description: partial 16S ribosomal RNA
Rfam family: Bacterial small subunit ribosomal RNA
Source: RNAcentral